Molecule: ribosomal RNA, 1492 nt
Filed under: metagenome
Description: bacterial SSU rRNA
Rfam family: Bacterial small subunit ribosomal RNA
Source: RNAcentral
AGAGUUUGAUUCUGGCUCAGAACGAACGCUGGCGGCGUGGAUAAGACAUGCAAGUCGAACGGAAUUUUAUUGGUAGUAAUACUAGUAAAAUUUAGUGGCGAACGGGUGCGUAACACGUGAGUAAUCUGCCGAGAAGUGGGGGAUAGCUCGCCGAAAGGCGAAUUAAUACCGCAUGUGACUAGUGGGGACAUCCCUGCGACGUCAAAGCCGUAAGGCGCUUCUUGAUGAGCUCGCGGCCUAUCAGCUAGUUGGUGAGGUAAUGGCUCACCAAGGCGAUGACGGGUAGCUGGUCUGAGAGGACGACCAGCCACACUGGAACUGAGACACGGUCCAGACACCUACGGGUGGCAGCAGUCGAGAAUUUUUCACAAUGGGGGAAACCCUGAUGGAGCGACGCCGCGUGGAGGAUGAAGGCCCUUGGGUCGUAAACUCCUGUCAUAAGAGAACAAGAAAGUGAUAGUAUCUUAAGAGGAAGAGACGGCUAACUCUGUGCCAGCAGCCGCGGUAAUACAGAGGUCUCAAGCGUUGUUCGGAUUCAUUGGGCGUAAAGGGUGCGCAGGCUGUGUGGUAAGUCGGGUGUGAAAUUUAGAGGCUCAACCUCUAAACUGCAUCUGAUACUGCCAUGCUAGAGGACUGUAGAGGAGAUUGGAAUUCACGGUGUAGCAGUGAAAUGCGUAGAUAUCGUGAGGAAGACCAGUGGCGAAGGCGAAUCUCUGGGCAGUUCCUGACGCUCAUGCACGAAGGCUAGGGGAGCAAACGGGAUUAGAUACCCCGGUAGUCCUAGCAGUAAACGUUGCACGUUUGGUGUGGGAGGAUUCGACCCCUUCCGUGCCGGAGCUAACGCGUUAAACGUGCCGCCUGGGAAGUACGGUCGCAAGAUUAAAACCUAAAGAAAUUGACGGGGGCCCGCACAAGCGGUGGAGUAUGUGGCUUAAUUCGAUCCACGCGAAGAACCUUACCUGGUCUUGACAUGCAUCUCUAAGUUGGUGAAAGCCAGCGACUCUCGCAAGAGAGAAUUUGCACAGGUGCUGCAUGGCUGUCGUCAGCUCGUGUCGUGAGAUGUUGGGUUAAGUCCCGCAACGAGCGCAACCCCUGUGAACUGUUGCCACUCUAGCUUCGGCUAGAAGCACUCGGUUCAGACUGCCCUGUGAAACGGGGAGGAAGGUGGGGAUGACGUCAAGUCAGCAUGGCCCUUACGACCAGGGCUGCACACGUACUACAAUGCCCAGAACAAAAUGAACCAAGACCGCGAGGUGGAGGAAAUCUAUAAAUCUGGGCCCAGUUCGGAUUGAAGGCUGCAACUCGCCUUCAUGAAGUUGGAAUCGCUAGUAAUGGCGCAUCAGCUACGGCGCCGUGAAUACGUUCCCGGGCCUUGUACACACCGCCCGUCACAUCAUGGAAGUCGCUUGUAUCCGAAGUCGCUGCGUUAACCCGUAAGGGAGACAGGUGCCUAAGGUAUGGGCGGUAACUGGGAUGAAGUCGUAACAAGGUA